GGCGCCUAAGGAUGGGUCUGCGGCCUAUCAGGUAGUAGUGGGUGUAGCGUACCUACUAGCCUACGACGGGUACGGGUUGUGAGAGCAAGAGCCCGGAGAUGGAUUCUGAGACACGAAUCCAGGCCCUACGGGGUGCAGCAGGCGCGAAAACUUUACAAUGCUGGAAACAGCGAUAAGGGGACCUCGAGUGCCAGGUUACAAAUCUGGCUGUCGUGAUGCCUAAAAAGCAUUGCAUAGCAAGGGCUGGGCAAGACCGGUGCCAGCCGCCGCGGUAACACCGGCGGCUCGAGUGGUAACCGUUAUUAUUGGGUCUAAAGGGUCUGUAGCCGGCCGGAUAAGUCUCUUGGGAAAUCCAGCAGCUCAACUGUUGGGCUUUCAGGAGAUACUGUCUGGCUCGAGGCCGGGAGAGGUGAGAGGUACUUCAGGGGUAGGGGUGAAAUCUUGUAAUCCUUGAAGGACCACCAGUGGCGAAGGCGUCUCACCAGAACGGACCUGACGGCAAGGGACGAAAGCUAGGGGCACGAACCGGAUUAGAUACCCGGGUAGUCCUAGCCGUAAACGAUACUCGCUAGGUGUCGGCCACGGUGCGACCGUUGUCGGUGCCGUAGGGAAGCCGUGAAGCGAGCCACCUGGGAAGUACGGCCGCAAGGCUGAAACUUAAAGGAAUUGGCGGGGGAGCACCACAACGGGUGGAGCUUGCGGUUUAAUUGGACUCAACGCCGG
Molecule: ribosomal RNA, 723 nt
Filed under: uncultured archaeon
Lineage: Archaea
Description: bacterial SSU rRNA
Rfam family: Archaeal small subunit ribosomal RNA
Source: RNAcentral